UACGGAGGGUACAAGCAUUAAUCGGAUUUACUGGGCGUAAAGGGUGCGUAGGCGGAUGGGUAAGUCAGAUGUGAAAUUCCGGUACUCAAUAUCGGAGCUGCAUUUGAAACUCCCCUUCUGGAGGAUAGACGGAGAGAACGGAAUUCCAUGUGUAGCGGUGAAAUGCGUAGAUAUAUGGAAGAACACCUGUGGCGUAAGCGGUUCUCUAGUUUAUUUCUGACGCUGAGGCACGAGAGUGUGGGGAGCAAACAGG
This 253-nucleotide ribosomal RNA is filed under the name uncultured bacterium. RNAcentral describes it as "partial 16S ribosomal RNA". It matches the Rfam family "Bacterial small subunit ribosomal RNA", at positions 524 to 776 of the family's 1533-position model. The record is from RNAcentral.